This is a long non-coding RNA of Neltuma alba, 257 nucleotides long. RefSeq lists it as uncharacterized. NCBI's taxonomy places the organism in Eukaryota, Viridiplantae, Streptophyta, Magnoliopsida, Fabales, Fabaceae. The transcript is spliced from 3 exons. The record is from RefSeq and is a predicted model, not a curated record.
AGUCCGAACCGAUCUUCUGUAAUGCAUUCUUAAGCUCCUUCAUGUUCAGACUUCCGUCCUUGUUCACGUCUGCUUCCUUCAAUAUCUCCAUCACUUGUUCUCUAGUGAGCACUUUGGGUGACACUGAUUUUGGUAAUCUAAUUGUCAUUUUACCUGAUUCUGAUUUCCCUCUCUGCUGCUUCAAUUUUAUGUGACUUCUCUUUUUCUUUGUUGCUUUUGCUUGGCUUGUAUGAGGGAGAUCAAAAUCAGGGAAAAUG